UUCUACAAAAUAGGCUUAGGAUGGUAAUAAUCGAACGUUAUUAGUUUUUGGUUGAGCGUUAAAAAUAAUUCAAUUUACCAAUAUAUUCAUGUAAUUGGUACCAAUGUGAUGAAUAUAACGGUAGAGAGAAUUAAAAUAUUUGUAAAAGGAAAAAUUCCAGUGGUCGUCCCACAAAGAAUAAUGGUCGAAU
Bradysia coprophila is the source of this 190-nucleotide long non-coding RNA. Lineage: Eukaryota; Metazoa; Arthropoda; Insecta; Diptera; Sciaridae. The record is from RefSeq and is a predicted model, not a curated record.